Molecule: ribosomal RNA, 505 nt
Filed under: uncultured bacterium
Lineage: Bacteria
Description: bacterial SSU rRNA
Rfam family: Bacterial small subunit ribosomal RNA
Source: RNAcentral
GGCUCAGGAUGAACGCUAGCUACAGGCUUAACACAUGCAAGUCGAGGGCAGCGGGAAGUCAGCUGCUGACUUGCCGGCGACCGGCGCACGGGUGAGUAACGCGUAUCCAACCUUCCCCUUAGUAGGGCAUAGCCCGUAGAAAUGCGGAUUAAUACCCUAUGUUAUUCGUCGAGGACAUCUGAAGUGAAUCAAAGGUUUACCGCUAAGGGAUGGGGAUGCGUCCGAUUAGGCAGCAGGCGGGGUAACGGCCCACCUGGCCGACGAUCGGUAGGGGUUCUGAGAGGAAGGUCCCCCACAUUGGAACUGAGACACGGUCCAAACUCCUACGGGAGGCAGCAGUGAGGAAUAUUGGUCAAUGGGCGCGAGCCUGAACCAGCCAAGUAGCGUGCAGGACGACGGCCCUAUGGGUUGUAAACUGCUUUUAUGCGGGGAUAAAGUGCGGCACGUGUGCCGUUUUGUAGGUACCGCAUGAAUAAGGACCGGCUAAUUCCGUGCCAGCCGCUGC